CCUGUUAAAGUUGACGUCUUCUUCCUCGUAUUUGUCAAGGUGUGUAUAAUAAAUAGGCAGAUUCCAGGUGACAGCUCGUUAUCUUCUAACUUCAAUUCUCUGCUCCAAUGGUUUUGAAUUCUUUUGUUUUUGUUCCAGCAAGCAGCUCGUUCCAUUUCCUAAUUCGCCAGAUUCUGUGCGUGUAUAAUAUAUUCUUGGUGCCCAAUUCUGACCUCUUUU
Molecule: long non-coding RNA, 219 nt
Filed under: Olea europaea (common olive)
Lineage: Eukaryota; Viridiplantae; Streptophyta; Magnoliopsida; Lamiales; Oleaceae
Description: long non-coding RNA (OEUR_LNC006357)
Source: RNAcentral